AAUAGACCAACCUUGGACUAAUGUCUCCAGCUCUACUCCUUUAACAAGCAAGCCGUUACAAGUUCACUAACUUCCUUUAUGAAGGACAAUGACACAACACACCUCAACGCUGUGUAAAGGCUAUUUAACCAAGAAGGAGAGUGAUGGAGUGCUGCAUCAGAUGACCUGGCCUCCCCAAUCACCCGACCUCAACCCGAUUGAGAUGGUUUGGGAUGAGUUGGACCGCAGAGUAAAGGAAAAGCAGCCAACAAGUGCUCAGCAUAUGUGGAAACUCCUUCAAGACUGUUGGAAAAGCAUUCCAGAUUCCUGGUAUUCCAGCUGGAAUCAGACAGGACUGUGCAGUUUUUCCUGCUAAUAAGGAACGCCAGGAAUCAGUUUUAUCCCACAAACCCCAGAAUUUUUAAUUAAAGAGAAAAUCCAGAGCAGCAGAAGAGAAUGUAAGGAUGUAAUCAAUAAUUCAUUACUACGCUUUACUGGACAAAUCACACACUGUGAUGACUGUGAUAUGUUGUUGUUUAACUACCUUAGUUGAGCAAGUCAUUCUGGAUAAGCGUGUCUGCUAAAUGACCAAAAUGUAAAUUUAUAUGUGAAAAUUAAUAUACAUAAGUGAACUGCAAAGCACAACUGGAGCAGAGCUCAUUAGAAUAAUACUCAGCAUGUUUUGCAAUUUUUCAUUUUGACAUAUACAUUUGUAUUUAGUUCAUUUAGCAGACACUUUUAUCACACCAUAGUGCUAUCAGACUUUUGAUACCAAUGCAGGAUGAAAGAGGUCCAGAAAUGUGAACCAAAAUAAUAAAAUGACAGUAUUUUGAAAAUUCAAAUUACAGUAUUUUGAAAAUUCAAAUUACAGUAUUUUGAAAAUUCAAAUUACAGUAUUUUCAAAAUACAAAUUACAGUGUUUUGAAAAUAUACAAAAUACAUUGGAGUAUUGUUUAAAAAAGCUCAGAAGUCAUUAAAAUACGUAUUUCAAAUACAUGUAACAGAAAUACUGCCCAUCUCUGCACCUACCUAAACAUACAUUGUUUGUGAGAUCAGAUAUAAUCUGAUUGUUAAUUUGUUGAAAUUUCUACUUUUUUCAAUUUCACAAAGAAUUUGCACCCGUCAAAAUAAAAUGUUCU
Long non-coding RNA from Oncorhynchus nerka (sockeye salmon), 1118 nucleotides. RefSeq lists it as uncharacterized. The transcript is spliced from 3 exons. The record is from RefSeq and is a predicted model, not a curated record. NCBI's taxonomy places the organism in Eukaryota, Metazoa, Chordata, Actinopteri, Salmoniformes, Salmonidae.